UGCUGAUCGAUCACCAUGGGUGCUGCGGCCGAGCUGCACCAUCUGUGCACGGUGCAGAAAGAAUUUCUCCCGGGAGAAAACCCUAAAGAUGGUUAUCAAAGGGUCUAUAUCCAAUCUUCUAUAGCUUAAACUUCAGAAAGCUAAUGGAGAUACUUUGUAACGAUGACAAGUAGAACCAACUCAUGCAUUGUAUCUACAUCUAAUGGCACCCAAAUUCUGCCAUGGAAAACUGGAAAUUUUAUCAUUCCAUGCAUAUCCCUUAUGCACCUUCUCCUACAGGACAG
Molecule: long non-coding RNA, 284 nt
Filed under: Elaeis guineensis (African oil palm)
Lineage: Eukaryota; Viridiplantae; Streptophyta; Magnoliopsida; Arecales; Arecaceae
Description: long non-coding RNA (EGUI_LNC016294)
Source: RNAcentral